CAAGCUCGUAGUUGAAUUUUAGACGGGCUCUAUUGGGCUGCAACCCGUUAAGGUUUUCUAGAAAAUGGUUCGUCCAGCUAGCAAGACUGGUUGUAUUUGCCCUGAUAGGAACCCGUUGUUUCGUCACUUAAUCGAGUGCGAAGCGGGCUGGCACAGGGAUGUCGCCUCGGCGCGUCCUGUUUCAGCAUGUUUACCUUGAGAAAAUUAGAGUGCUCACAGCAGGCAGUUUGGGUGUAAAAGCCCAUUUAUGCUUGAAUAAUGUUGCAUGGAAUAAUAGAAUACGGCUUCGGUUCUAUUCUGUUGGUCUUAUAGAACAACAAACAAGUUGGUUAGGGCGAUCAAAAGUUCGUUUGUUAGCGUGGCCAUUAUGGGGCUGUUGGGGGAUGAUUGUUUGGUUUCGGUGGGUAGUGUUGCCUGGAGGAUAGAAACUCUAGAGCCGCGCCUCCGGUCAACCGGCCUUUAUAAUUCACAGAUUCCCAUCUUGACCAUCCAAAAGCGCUUCAAAUUGGGCUAGCUCUCAAUCAACUGAGGCAAUGGUUAAAAGAAAUAGUCGCGGCGGCAUCAGUACUGCAUCGUGAGAGGUGAAAUUCUUAGACCGAUGCAAGACUAACUGAAGCGAAAGCGUUUGCCGAGGAUAUUUUCAUUAAUCAAGAACGAAAGUUAGAGGUUCGAAGGCGAUCAGAUACCGCCCUAGUUCUAACCAUAAACGUUGCCAACUAGCAAUUGGAUUGCGAUUCCUUUAAUCGGGGUGUAAAAGCUCCGAUCAUUAUGAUCCAUCCAGCGGCUCUCGUAGGGAAACCAAAGUGUUUGGGUUCCGGGGGAAGUAUGAUUGCAAAGUUGAAACUUAAAGGAAUUGACGGAAGGGCACCACCAGGAGUGGAGCCUGCGGCUUAAUUUGACUCAACACGGGGAAACUUACUAGAUUAAAACUCUGGAAUGAUUGACAGAUUGAUAGCUCUUUCUUGAUUCAGAGGAUGGUGGUGCAUGGCCGUUCUUGAUUCGUAUUCCGAAACGUCUGCUUAAUUGCGAUAACGAGUGAGACCUCCUCCAACUAACUAGUCGUUUGGUGCGCUGUGGAACGCAAAAGUUCCGAUAGGACUCGGUUAUGGGCUUGCAGUGGCAACAUUGUUUGGCUCUUAGCUACCUGUUUGGAAUGUUCUCUGCUCGCCAGCGGACUUCUUAGAGGGAUAAACGGUGUUUUAGCCGUAAGAAACGAGGCAAUAACAGGUCUGUGAUGCCCUUAGAUAUUCUAGGCCGCACGCGUGCUACAAUGGCGUGUGCAGAAAGCUUGUUCGAGGUUCGUCCAGAGAGAACUGGCUGUUUGGUUGGUGUUUGGUCGCAAGAUUGAGCAUUGAUCGGCAGAGAAGUGACUUUGGUUAGCGGGCCGAGAGAAACCUUAGCCGAAAGGUUAGGGCAAUCAGAAAUAGACGCCGUGAUUUGGGAUUGGGGAUUGCAAUUGUUGCCCAUGAACGAGGAAUUCCCAGUAAGCGCAAUUCAUCAUAUUGCGUUGAUUACGUCCCUGCCCUUUGUACACACCGCCCGUCGCUACUACCGAUUGGAAGUUUUAGUGAGGCAUCCGGACCUGCUAUUCGUGAAGAGGCAACUCUUUUG
RNAcentral lists this ribosomal RNA (1611 nucleotides) under Eriophyes hoheriae. RNAcentral's name for it is "partial small subunit ribosomal RNA". It matches the Rfam family "Eukaryotic small subunit ribosomal RNA", at positions 623 to 1741 of the family's 1831-position model. Lineage: Eukaryota; Metazoa; Arthropoda; Arachnida; Trombidiformes; Eriophyidae. The record is from RNAcentral.